AACGAACGCUGGCGGCAGGCCUAACACAUGCAAGUCGAACGGUAACAGGCCUUCGGGCGCUGACGAGUGGCGGAUGGGUGAGUAACGCGUGGGAAUCUGCCUAGUAGUGGGGGACAACCUGGGGAAACUCAGGCUAAUACCGCAUACGCCCUACGGGGGAAAGCAGGGGAUCUUCGGACCUUGCGCUAUUAGAUGAGCCUGCGUCGGAUUAGCUUGUUGGUGGGGUAAAGGCCUACCAAGGCGACGAUCCGUAGCUGGUUUGAGAGGACGAUCAGCCACACUGGGACUGAGACACGGCCCAGACUCCUACGGGAGGCAGCAGUGGGGAAUAUUGGACAAUGGGGGCAACCCUGAUCCAGCAAUGCCGCGUGUGUGAAGAAGGCCUGCGGGUUGUAAAGCACUUUCGGAUGGGAAGAAAAGCUCAAGGCUAAUAUCCUUGAGUCUUGACGUUACUAUCAGAAGAAGCACCGGCUAACUCUGUG
Molecule: ribosomal RNA, 482 nt
Filed under: uncultured bacterium
Lineage: Bacteria
Description: bacterial SSU rRNA
Rfam family: Bacterial small subunit ribosomal RNA
Source: RNAcentral